UUGCAAUGAUGAAAGAUCAUUGUGCUUGAUAUGGAUGUGUGCUUCUUUUGCAGAUCCAUUGGUGAUGGUUACACAAACCCUCUAAGAAGUUCUAAGCAA
Molecule: small nucleolar RNA, 99 nt
Organism: Dioscorea cayenensis subsp. rotundata (Guinea yam)
Lineage: Eukaryota; Viridiplantae; Streptophyta; Magnoliopsida; Dioscoreales; Dioscoreaceae
Product: small nucleolar RNA U61
Exons: 1
Source: RefSeq, a predicted model, not a curated record